UCGUUAACAUCUUGAUUAGCCAGGAACUGGGCGGGUGUGGGGGGAGAGAUCCCCAGAAGAGAAGGACACCUUUGGAAGCAAAAGGUGGAUUCAUUUUAUUUUACUGGCAAGGAAAAGCUGCAGGAGGAGGGCAGAGACAGAAUAUCCCAGGGGCAGGAGUUCCUGGGUCCCUUCAUCAGAAAGCAGGAGACCCAGCCAUGGGUCGACAGGAGAAGAAUCACAGGGAGGCGAAUAAGCGGAGCCUGCAAAAGGAAAGAGCAAGAGCAAGGCAAAGCCGACAGAAACCACGUCCCUAAGCGACACCGGCUGGUCUUCACAGACAUCCAGCGCCGCACGCUUCACGCCAUCUUCCACGAGAACCAGCGGCCUUCCAAGGACCUGCAGGUCACCAUCGCCCAGCAGCUGGGCCUGGAGCUCUCCACCGUCAGUAACUUCUUCAUGAAUGCACGGCGCCGCAGCCUGGACAAGUGGAUGGAAGAGGGGCGCCCCCAAUCCUCGGGCACCCACACCUCCUCCGCCGUCACUUGCACCAAAGCAUGAGGGGAAGCCAGGGUGCUGGACGGGGGCACUGCGCCAGGCUGGUGUUGAUUGGGUGGGGUUUGAUGGGGUGGGUUGUUUUUAAUUUAUCCUCUUCGGUGGUUUCUUUCCCCUUCCCCUGCCUGAGUUUUUUUUCAACUGUUUCAACAGAACCCACAUGGCCCAGAUCCUCAGCUAACAUGAAUUAGCUCCUUUGCAUUGAGUGGAGGCUGGCUGAUUUACCCCAGCUGGGGAUCUGGCCCCAAUGGAGCGAUGCUGAUUUACCCCAGCUGUGGAUCGGAGCUUAAAUAAUCACAGGCAAGAUCCUCAGCUGGGGUAAAUAGGGCCAUGCUGAUUGGCACUUGCUGGGGAGCUGGGCCCCCCCCCCCCCCCCGGUUCCCCUAGAAGGCAGGGGAAGCCCAUGGCUGAAGAUUUGGGUGCCUGGGGGAGGUCGUGGCUCUUUAAAAAGCAUUUGUUUCCUCUUGAUGAUUGAGCCUGUGGUUGUUUCCUUUUUUUGGAAGGUGGUGCUGCCCAGAGGGCCCUGGGAAAUCCACCCCCAACUCCUGGGGUCAGUUGCACAUAAGGAAGGAUCUGACCUAGAAAACCCUGCCCCGGAUUCUGCAUGAACGCAUCAGACCCGGCCGAGACUCUGCUGGCUCCAUCUCCCCUUUGCUGUCUGAAAGCUGUCCCCAACGCAAACCGGAGCGACACCUCCCAGGAGUCUGGAUCCCACUGCCUGCCCAGCCGCUCCUCACCCGAAUUUGUCCCAUGUGUGUUGUGCGAAUCUAUUGUUUUGUCAAACUGUGGCAAAUUUCUACCUCACUUUGUCUCUUGCACCAAAGAUACCAAAGAUUUUGCAAGGAGUCUCCGUGUGGGUGCCUAUGUGGGCCUGCAGGCGUCUGUCAAUAGCUAUAUUUAUAGAUAUAUAUUUUUUGCAUGGCUUGUCUCUUGAAGUGCUCUAUGGUGUCGGACUGUCAUCCUGCAGAGCUAGUGAUGUGACCUAGAUGCAUCAUCUGUCCUAACCCAGACAACAAUUCUUUGACAUUCCCCAUGGUCCCCUGCUCUCUGGAUGUUAUCAAUAUAAUGCACUUUAGUGAGACACCUGUAACAGUGAUUAGGUUCCAGCCGUGGCCAAACAAGGGACAGACCGUUGCUGUUCUGCUAAGGAGUGACUCUCUGUAAAAGCAGGAUGGUGGGGCCAGAUUUGUAUUUAUUGUGGCUCCGGAUUGGUUUACAAGGCUGUUGUGCAAAAAGAUCCAAAGAUUAUUUUUUGGCUCGUUCCCGCCCCCCCCUUAACUAAGCAAGAAACGUCCUCGGGGCAAAGAUGUUUCCCCACAAGCUAUCAGUGCUGCAAACUUCUGCUGGGCUCUGAGAAUCAAACUGGGUUCACUUUGAAUUGGGAAUUAUCCCCAGUAACAAAACCUCUGCCUGCUAAAAAUCCUGCUCUGGGCAGCUCUGCUGUCUCCAUUGCAUAGCAUGCCUCCAUGUCAUUCCAGCCGGUGCACGCUUCCCUGGCUGCACAAGCACCUAGGACCUUUGCUGGCUCCUACAUCUGUUGGGGAGAUUUUCAAUGGGAACCUAGGAAAUAACUGUAUUCAUGAGGCCCAAGCCAGGCUAGAACCUGGCUUCGUCCCCCACAGCCUGCAGGGCAAUUGGGAGCAUUAAAAACACCCCUUUGCCCCUCAGUUCAGCAGCUAUGAGCCUGAAUACACCCAGGGAGCAGAGCUACUGAGCAGAAACGCAACACUUUCUUGCAGUUGCUCUGACUCCCCUGGGGACAGCCUCUCAACCUUCCCUUCAGAGCAAGGGGCAAACCUCAGACGGCUGGGUCCGGAUCAGCGUCCCAGAGUCCUGGGACAGACCCAAACCCUCUGCUCUUCCUGUGUAUGAAAUCCAGGCCCCUUUGGGAGGUUUCUCAGGGGACUCUGUCUCCAUUUUAGGUGAGAAAUACGGCAGGAGCCUUCCUAGUGUAGCGGUGUCCCUGGGUGGGUCACGAGCGAAUGCAGAACCGCUGGAUCUAAAAGCCUGAGCUGCCCCUACCUGAAUUAGAGAAUGAAGGGUGAAAUCUUGAAAUCAAUGGGAGUUUUGCUAAUGACUUUAUUGGGGCCAGGAUUUUGCCCCAGAUCUGUUGGCUCAGAGAGACUAGUGGGCUGCUGAAACUCUAUACGCGGACUGGCCACUGGGGCUGGGGCAGGGAGCUCCCGUUGGCUUGGGUUACACAAGCCCUUGUGGGUGCUUCCAUGUGGAACCAGAUGAGACAGCUGUCACCACCAACACAGACCAUCCCCCGGGAGCAGGAAACAAUCCAGCACUUUGAAAUGGUUCUGCUCAAGGGCUUUGAUUGAGUUUCAGGCAGGGCUUUAUUCUGCCCGAGCUACUUCACCACAAGCCGGGAAGGUCAAGACAGGGAUCCCCAAGGAUCAGAGCUGUUUGGGUCCAGGUUCCCGCUCUCUUUAGUAUCCUGAUUUCCCUCUGGCCCUUUGACUCUCUAGUGGGGACUCUCAAAGGAGCUUUGAGGCAUCGCAUUGAAUGGCAGUGCGAGCUGAAUGCCUAACUCCCUUAGACUCCACUGGAAAUCCCAGUCUCUCUCCAGUAAUCCCAGUUGCUGGGAAAUGCUGGUGAUUCUAAGGACACGAACCUUGCCCACUCCCCACUGGUGUCUCUCAAGCAGCGGCCUUGUCUGCCACUUGGGAGGCUAAAGGGCAUCUCUUUUAACUUCCAGGUUUACACUGGAACUGGCAACAUCAAAGAGAGAAAGAAAAGACCUGGACAAUUCACCCCCCAGGGCACAAAAAUGGGAUUCUGAACCCAUCCGUCCCUAAACUUGUGAUGAUAGAUACCAUCAUCCCAAGACCACCUACCUGCUGACUAUACCUCUAUGCCCUGCCUUUUGGUCUUGGUCAGGGGUAUUGUUUCCCCUACACAGGACUCUGCUGGUGGGAGCAUGGGGAUAAAGGGAAAAAGCUGUGGAGGCUCCUCGGUGGAAGCUCUUUGGGCCCUCUUGUGCGUCAGGCAUGGUAAGAUUCUCACCCACUACUGCAGUCCAGCUCUGAGAGGUGCCUCUGCCAGCCAGCCCCCAGCACAUCCCUGCUGCAGAACUGGCAGAAGCCA
This is an RNA transcript of Dermochelys coriacea (leatherback sea turtle), 3627 nucleotides long. It is a transcript of the gene named hepatocyte nuclear factor 6-like, with no coding region annotated. Lineage: Eukaryota; Metazoa; Chordata; Testudines; Dermochelyidae. The record is from RefSeq and is a predicted model, not a curated record. The transcript has 3 exons.